CACAAAGCGGGUCCGACGGUGAUCUUGUUUUGUGUGGUCUAACAUGCGGCGCCUCCUGUGCGAGUCGGCGUGGGCCAAACAGUCUUUGGUGUUGUGGUAGACGAGCUACCUGACCCGUCUUGAAACAUGGACCAAGGAGUUUAUCAUGCACGCGAUUCAAUGGGUCACACGAAACCCAAAGGCGCAGUAAAAGUGACGUCUCGACUUGUUUUUGGUAUUUGAUGAGAUGCCACUCUUUCUCACACCUAUCCUUGCGCUUACAGCAACAGACAGAACAGCAGUGGUCGCAUCACCGGCCCGUCCCGUAAUGUGGUCGAUGGAAAGGCAUGGAUCGUUCUGCGGUCUGCGUUGCAGCCGGCGCGUCAUCGGGGCGGAGCAGGAGCUUGCACGAUAAAACCCGAAAGAUGGUGAAUUUUGCUUGCGUAAAUUGAAGACAGGGGACACUCUGGUGGAAGAUUGCAGCGAUUCUGACGUGCAAAUCGAUCACAAAUGUGAGUAAAGGGGCGAAAGACUAAUCGAACCAUCUUGUAGCUGGUUCCCUCCGAAGUUUUACUCAGGAUAGCUGGUACUCAUUCGCAAGAUCAAUUUUAUCCGGUACAGCGAAUUAUUAGAGGUACUGGGUUCGAAACGAGCGUGAGAUGCG
Molecule: non-coding RNA, 643 nt
Filed under: Schistocephalus solidus
Lineage: Eukaryota; Metazoa; Platyhelminthes; Cestoda; Diphyllobothriidea; Diphyllobothriidae
Description: Eukaryotic large subunit ribosomal RNA
Rfam family: Eukaryotic large subunit ribosomal RNA
Source: Rfam by way of RNAcentral